GACGAACGCUGGCGGCGUGCUUAACACAUGCAAGUCGAACGGAAAGGCCCUGCUUUUGUGGGGUGCUCGAGUGGCGAACGGGUGAGUAACACGUGAGUAACCUGCCCUUGACUUUGGGAUAACUUCAGGAAACUGGGGCUAAUACCGGAUAGGAGCUCCUGCUGCAUGGUGGGGGUUGGAAAGUUUCGGCGGUUGGGGAUGGACUCGCGGCUUAUCAGCCUGUUGGUGGGGUAGUGGCUUACCAAGGCUUUGACGGGUAGCCGGCCUGAGAGGGUGACCGGGAAAAUUGGGACUGAGACACGAGCGAGACUCCUACGGGGGGCAGCGGUGGGGGGGAGAGAGCAAUGGGCGGAAGCGUGAUGCGACAGAGGGGGGUGUGGGGGGAGGGCACCCGGGUUGUAAACCGCAAAGGCCUGGGACGAAGCUGUAGUGACGGUAGUGGGUAAAGAAGCACCGGCUAACUACGUG
RNAcentral lists this ribosomal RNA (468 nucleotides) under uncultured bacterium. RNAcentral describes it as "partial 16S ribosomal RNA". It matches the Rfam family "Bacterial small subunit ribosomal RNA", at positions 28 to 507 of the family's 1533-position model. The record is from RNAcentral.